UACGUAAGUGGCAAGCGUUAUCCGGAAUUACUGGGCAUAAAGAGUUCGUAGGCGGUUAAACAAGCCAAUAGUGAAAUCCACCAGCCUAACUGGUGUCAGCUAA
RNAcentral lists this ribosomal RNA (103 nucleotides) under uncultured bacterium. Its description in RNAcentral is "partial 16S ribosomal RNA". It matches the Rfam family "Bacterial small subunit ribosomal RNA", at positions 524 to 627 of the family's 1533-position model. The record is from RNAcentral.